GACGAACGCUGGCGGCGUGCUUAACACAUGCAAGUCGAACGGAAAGGCCCUGCUUUUGUGGGGUGCUCGAGUGGCGAACGGGUGAGUAACACGUGAGUAACCUGCCCUUGACUUUGGGAUAACUUCAGGAAACUGGGGCUAAUACCGGAUAGGAGCUCCUGCUGCAUGGUGGGGGUUGGAAAGUUUCGGCGGUUGGGGAUGGACUCGCGGCUUAUCAGCUUGUUGGUGGGGUAGUGGCUUACCAAGGCUUUGCCGGGUAGCCGGCCUGAGAGGGUGACCGGCCACAUUGGGACUGAGAUACGGCCCAGACUCCUACGGGAGGCAGCAGUGGGGAAUAUUGCACAAUGGGCGGAAGCCUGAUGCAGCAACGCCGCGUGCGGGAUGACGUCCUUCGGGUUGUAAACCGCUUUCGCCUGUGACGAAGCGUGAGUGACGGUAAUGGGUAAAGAAGCACCGGCUAACUACGUG
Molecule: ribosomal RNA, 468 nt
Filed under: uncultured bacterium
Lineage: Bacteria
Description: partial 16S ribosomal RNA
Rfam family: Bacterial small subunit ribosomal RNA
Source: RNAcentral